RNAcentral lists this ribosomal RNA (443 nucleotides) under uncultured Saccharofermentans sp. Its description in RNAcentral is "partial 16S ribosomal RNA". The record is from RNAcentral. Lineage: Bacteria; Bacillati; Bacillota; Clostridia; Eubacteriales; Oscillospiraceae.
GACUACUGGGGUAUCUAAUCCUGUUUGCUCCCCACGCUUUCGCGCCUCAGCGUCAGUUACUGUCCAGAUAGUCGCCUUCGCCACUGAUGUUCCUCCUAAUAUCUACGCAUUUUACCGCUACACUAGGAAUUCCACUAUCCUCUCCAGUACUCAAGUUCUGUAGUUUCGGAUGCAGCGCCCAAGUUAAGCUUGGGAAUUUCACAUCCGACUUACAAAACCGCCUACACGCCCUUUACACCCAGUAAAUCCGGAUAACGCUUGCCACCUACGUAUUACCGCGGCUGCUGGCACGUAGUUAGCCGUGGCUUGUUUUUCAGGUACCGUCAUUUGUUUCGUCCCUGAUCAAAGAAGUUUACAACCCGAAGGCCUUCUUCCUUCACGCGGCGUUGCUGGGUCAGGCUUUCGCCCAUUGCCCAAUAUUCCCCACUGCAGCCUCCCGUAGG